Cricetulus griseus (Chinese hamster) is the source of this 485-nucleotide non-coding RNA. The record is from RefSeq and is a predicted model, not a curated record. Lineage: Eukaryota; Metazoa; Chordata; Mammalia; Rodentia; Cricetidae.
ACAUGGACCCAGACUGAUAGCUGGGAAACCAGCAUAGGACAGAACCAGAAGCCCUGAAUGUCUGUGAUGUUCAAACAGUGAAAACUGUCUCCUGAAAGAAAGACUCAUAUUCAUGUGUGUGGGUAGCCGUCAUAAGACCACUGCCAUCAACCCCCAAACCCACUCCAGCAUCCGUAUUUCCCACAGAGACCUUGCCACCCUCACCAGUGCUUCCUAGCCUGGCUGAGUACACAUACCCAGUGUGCCAUACAUAUUCAAACUGACCAGGAUGUAUAGAAGUGGGGCUGGAUGCCUACUGAUCAGCUUCUCUGUGUAACUGAACUGUUAUCUGAACGCAUAAGCUGUGGAGAUGAUUUCCACCAUGUGAGACAAGACUGAAGAACAAAGCAGCAAGAAGAAAGAACUAGCAGGCAGGCUGGGGUUCCAACAGUUUCCUUAUUUUCUGGGGUGAUCAGAGACUCCAAUAAAGGUUUAUGAUAACCGUC